Molecule: long non-coding RNA, 2528 nt
Organism: Mus musculus (house mouse)
Lineage: Eukaryota; Metazoa; Chordata; Mammalia; Rodentia; Muridae
Product: predicted gene, 52108
Exons: 2
Source: RefSeq, a predicted model, not a curated record
CGGUCUCAAGAUGGGCUGUGGCUCCGUCCCCUGAAGGUCACAUGAGGACAAGGCAGAAGAGCUGGUCAGGGUACAGCAGAUGGCCCAGCUCUGCCCGGUGUCCCUCUUCUCCCCUGUGUCUAUCUUCCUGGCCUCGGGGCUCGGCACCAGCAAUCACUCAGGUGCCCUUGGUCAGCCCUCCUCAGCAGCGCCCUCCAAGGACAGGGCCCACAGUUACAACAGGUACUUGGGAAGUGUCACUGUGUGUGUGCUGGCCAGGUUGACACUUGUCAGCUCCAUCGUCUCCCCCAGCCUGUUAAGGGAGAGGCAGUCCCAACAGACCCUACUCAAGCUCAUGCAAGAUCAAGGGUACACUGGGCAGUCAGGACACAGACUGCUUCCAUAGGCCUCCAGGAAAGCUUCCCGAGAAAGGCCAGCCCUCAGGGACACAACACACCCUUUCUAAGAUGAAGCUUGGAUCUUCACCUGAACAGUGGCUUGCUCUGGAGCCAUAGGUUGGCCUCAUUUGUGCUUAGAGCAACUGGUAAAUCUUAGGAUAGAUCUCUCACACCACAACCCCAUCCUGGUGGUAAUCUCAGCCCCAUGCCUGCUACAGGAUGCUCUCCUAAAGGGUGCAGAAGCUGCCUGAGGGAGGGUGAAGGAAAAUAGCAUAAAGACCUGGGGUUCUCCAGUGAGACCCAGAUGCCCUCAGAUGUAUAGGAAGGAAGGAUGUGACACCUUCAAGAAGUAUCCCACCGCCACUUCAAGCAACAGGCUGCUAGGUUGGACAGAGCUACCUUCCGGGCAGCAGUCAGACUCACCAGGCAGGUGGCACACCACAGGGAUAUCCAGUUUCCUGAGGUCAUCUGCAUUGCCAACGCCAGAGAGCAUGAGCAGCUGUGGAGAGUUGAUGGCUCCCCCGCUCAGGAUCACCUCCCUGCUGACGUAAGCCUGGAAGAGGCAGAGCUCGACCAAUCACACUUCCUGAAAAGCCAGCUGUUUGACUGCCCCGUGGAGAGGCACCCAGUUCCAGCCAUUGCUGGGCCUUUGGAAAUUACACCACUGUGGAGAAUCUGUUCUCAGAUCCUAGAUAGAGAACAGAGGAGGGGGCCGGCUGGAGGGCUACUUAAAAAUGAUCCGCACAGAGUCCCCAUGGGUGACUCUAAGUAACAGCUGUAACAGUAACAGGGGCCUUGGAAAUGGGGGGCGGGGGUAGAGCUCAAGUGAGAUGAUAGCAUACACUUCAGUGAUUUGAAGCAAGCACACAAAUAGAUCUCCUGAGAAGGGAAGGCGGGGGAAGGCCAUCUCUGACAUAUCGCCAAGUGAAGAAAAGCACCAAAUAUGAUUCCAUUUGUGGAUUUUUAAACUUCUAGGGUUGAUUUAAUGGUUUCUGGCAGGCCAGAACCCUGAAACCAUAUACUAGAGGACUCUCGUGGGGAUAGAUAUGACAGGCAGAGGCUUACGGAGGCACAAGGGACCAUGGAGUCUGCGGGUGGCAGGAGUUGAGGUCUUCUGACCUCUACAUCCUGUGGGACCCCAGGGACAAUCCUGCCACUGCUACUGGCUGUCAACUCAUCCUAGGAACAAGAGCACGUGGGACAGGAGCAAGAGCCUGAUUGCCUGUCCCCUUCCUGCCCUCUUCAGUCCCCACACGUUCCACAGGAAGUCAACUCACCUUGUGUCUCUGGCCGUCCUUGAUGUACUCCACACCUACUGCACGGGUGCCCUCAAACAGCACUCUGCUUACAAGUGUCUGGACCUCGGCCCUGAGGUUGGGGCGGCUCAGCACCGGGUGCAAGUAGGCGCAGGCUGUGCUCCAGCGCUUCCCUGCAGGAUGGAGCGAGGUCAGCCAUGGCCUGCUGCCCUCCCCUCGUGCCUGGACACGAAACUACUGGGGAAAGCAAAUCUAGCCCUCCCUUGACAAUGCAAGGCCCACCUUCAAAGGUAUGUCUGUGACCUGGAUAGCCUACCCUGCAGUCCAAACUAUUGAGAGCCCCAUGGUUUGCUCUAUCCUGCUGUGUGCAAGGGUCCCAUGCUACCUGCUGUCUGUCUACCUGCAUCCAUCUACCAAGAGGUGAUAGCUGGGACACGAUGGUCUUGUGCUGUCUUUUUCUGCCUCAGCUUGCUCAUCUGCAAGUCUCUAUAACGCCAUGCGUUAUUCAUUACACAGAGCUGUUCCUUCACUCUUCCACAGCCCCUCCCCUCCAACCGCUACCCCUAGUGGGGGCCACUGUGUUUUCCCUGGCUACAGGUACCACAGGACUGAAGUCCCUACCUCUCUCAGCUUCCUAGAUCUGUGACUAUAGGGUUUGGCUGCCCUAUCCAGGCUGGACAGGCCCCUGGGAACUCUAAAGUCACCUCUGCUAUACUGCAUGACCUAGAGGCACAGUGAAUACCCAAGUAUUGGGUUGUAUCCUGUGACACCUAGGGGCCGUAUAUAGUAUCUCCCUCUCACCAAACACCAUGCUGAUUUGCUUACUGACCAUGAUGGAGUCAGGAAGGAUGCCUAUAAUUAGAGGUGGGGGCUAUUAAAAAUCAGUACCCUGGGG